AUCGAUAAAUGACCAAUUAAAAAAAAAAGCUAUACAGAAUGAAAUAAUUAAGAUCCUUUUAAAAGAGUACUUUGUCAGUAAAACUAAAAAAAAAAUUAUUACAGAAAUGUAGGUAGAAAAAUUAAAAGUAAUAAUUAAAUAAAAUUAAAAAGUAAAUACUUUAUAUUAUUCUCAAUUUCGUGUAUAAUAUAAUACAUUUUAUAUAUGUCGGAGUGCAUAUGACAGCGACUAUAAACAUUGCUGCAAUCGAUGCCACACGAUCGUAAAUAUAAUAAGGAAGCAGAUAAUCUUAUGAAGGUGCGCAUUUUGCUACAAAAUUUGACAAAUGGCCGUGCGGUCCCGGCAUAGAAUAAGCCACCCCUUCAUUUACCAUGAUUGUUGUAAGAGGCGGCUAAGACAUGGCGAGGGAUGGGCAGGAGCGUCUCACUUAUCUCAAGGCUCCACAUCUCCAAAGGCUAACUGCGGUUGCCAAUCUGUCUGCCAAGCGUGUCAAUUUUCUUUUACAACACAGGGGCAAAUGAGCAUGCGGCUCACUUGAUGUUGUAACACCGAGCCAAUAAUCCGAGUUAGUGUUGCGACGGCUUCAGACUUCGGGCGAGCUAUCUCAGUGACGUCAGUUGGUCAACCGAAUCUCAUCCCGCGUUGGGAUUACGCUGAAUUUACUAUCAUUCCACGGCAGUUAGUAAAUGACGCGAAUAAAGCUCUCUGUGGCGCUAUAAAAUAAAGUAUGUUUCAAAAUAUAUAAGGGAAUUAAUGAAUUUAAAAUUUAAUAUUGUUAAUUAUUAUUAAAAAAAAUUAAUUUUCAAGGGGCGUGUAACGGAACGAAACGUAUCGUGUGAAAGGGACAAACGAUAGACGUUUAGUAACGAGUGAAAGAGUUCGAAAGACCACGGUCUAUCACUUACAAAUAGGUUUAUAUCGGGGGAAAGGGAUUGUUAGCAAUGGAGUUUGAAAGCCCCAUUGCUAGCAAUAUGCCUUAUUAGGUCGACCUUCACGUGGUUCCCCCUGGAAACCAUCGUGAAUAAUUCUCGUUGAAUUCGUCACGAUGGACUAACUGACCUACUUCAUCCUCACCUAACAUCCUUCACUGGUGCCCCGCCGGUGUAUACCGAUAGCGCGGGUGGGGUUACCAUUCCAUUAACAUCCAUUAAAAAAAAAAUAGGUUUAUAUCUAAUCUGUAUAUACAGCAUAUAUUAUCUAAGAAUAUCGAGAAUUGGAUAAUGAAUAU
Galleria mellonella (greater wax moth) is the source of this 1228-nucleotide long non-coding RNA. RefSeq lists it as uncharacterized. The transcript has 4 exons. The record is from RefSeq and is a predicted model, not a curated record. Lineage: Eukaryota; Metazoa; Arthropoda; Insecta; Lepidoptera; Pyralidae.